CUUAACCCACACAGUCGUCCCAAAAAAGACAGAGCUUCCAGACAGCAACUCUGGCUUCCUUAAAAAAUGAUUCUCAUUUCUGAAAACGCGGAGUACCUACUAAGUGCCAGUGCCACUGCCAGCGCCGAAAGAUCCCUGGAAUUCCCACACAGCUCCUCCCUCCCAGAGCUCUCGGUGUAGCUAGGGAGGUAGGGAAGCGCUCCCGUGACUCAGCCCCGGCACGAUGUGGAAAUGAAGUUUAAACAAGGGGCACCUAAGAACAGAGAGAUUAAUUCUGCUUUGAGAGGAAACUAGGGCCAGAAGAGGGCAAACGCAAUGUCAAAUCAGUUUCAGAAGCAUCUGCCAUAUAUGACAUUUAGGAGUAAAGAGCCCUGCCUGAGCCUCCUCCCCGUGGAUUUUCCUGCUGUGUUCGCACUGUGUGCUGUGCUGCCAUGGGUGUUUCUCCCAUCGACCCGCUCAUCGCACCGCCCGUGAGUUGUCCUUCAUGGUCGCACUGCAGCCUCAGGAGCUUUACAAUGUCUGGGACACAGUAGAGGUCAAUGAAGUUCUGUUGAGCGGUGAGGGCAGGAAGAGGGAGCGUGGAACCAGGAAGCCCAAAGUUUUGCAGCCUCCGAAUGAAAGAAGACAAAUUCUGAGCUGCGGUGGAGAGGAUUGUUUAAAAGCAGAAAUGAGUUGGGGUGAGAGAGGAAGGUGGUGGAUGUCGAGAGAGACUGAUUUACCAUGUUCUGGGCACAGACAGAAUCUUGGCCCCCUCUCUCUGCAGCCGGAUCUCAGGGCUCGCUCGGCCUGAGAAUCUCAAUCGCUCAACCUCUCUCCUCCUCGCCCCCUCGCCCACCCCUCUCCCUCGCCAUCUCUCCCUUCUGUUGCUUCAGUGGUUUGCAUCGUCAUCUGCCAAACUCCUCAGAACCUGCUAUGCACUUCAGCCCCAGCUGUAUGUCUUCCUCUGCACUCCAGGAACUGCACAAAUAAACCGCUGAGAACAGAGCCCUCCUCACCACAAACAGCACGCGGGCUUCUGCUCAGCCUCUGUGGCCUUGGACCGGCUCCUGGGAAGGGCCCCUGCCUGGGGACAAGCACCGUCACAGCCACAGCCUGCCUCUCUCAAACACUCAGCCAUGGGGAGCCCCUGCCUCCCAGAUGAAGGGGCAGCUCGGUGGGAAACAGUCGGCUGUGCCCACAGCCACCCUCACCCUGGGCUAAGCCGGGUCCAAGGCAUACGGCUUCUCUCCCGGGGGACCAACCAUGCAACUCAGUGACCUUGAGAAAGUUAUUUUAGCCUCUGCAGACUUCCCUUUCCCUGUUUUUAAAUAGAUCAGAGAUUUAUGCCGUUUAAUUCACAAAGGAGCUGCAUGGAAAAAGGCUGAUUUGUUCUGAAGGACUUUGGCUUCCUGAGAGGAACCCAAGGUUCUAGGAAAGCUCCUUGAGCUGCUAGAUAC
Molecule: long non-coding RNA, 1436 nt
Filed under: Equus caballus (horse)
Lineage: Eukaryota; Metazoa; Chordata; Mammalia; Perissodactyla; Equidae
Description: lncRNA (ENSECAG00000058282.1)
Source: RNAcentral